GUGCUCACUUCAACAACACAUAUGCUAAAGUCUGAACAAUGCAGAGAAGUUUCCCAUGGCCCCUGCACGGAUGAUACACUAACUCGUUGAGAGUCUUCAAAGUGUG
Ochotona curzoniae (black-lipped pika) is the source of this 106-nucleotide small nuclear RNA. The record is from RefSeq and is a predicted model, not a curated record. Lineage: Eukaryota; Metazoa; Chordata; Mammalia; Lagomorpha; Ochotonidae.